RNAcentral lists this ribosomal RNA (468 nucleotides) under uncultured bacterium. RNAcentral describes it as "partial 16S ribosomal RNA". It matches the Rfam family "Bacterial small subunit ribosomal RNA", at positions 28 to 507 of the family's 1533-position model. The record is from RNAcentral.
GACGAACGCUGGCGGCGUGCUUAACACAUGCAAGUCGAACGGAAAGGCCCUGCUUUUGUGGGGUUCUCUAGUUUCUAACUUUUGAGUAACACGUGAGUAACCUGCCCUUGACUUUGGGAUAACUUCAGGAAACUGGGGCUAAUACCGGAUAGGAGCUCCUGCUGCAUGGUGGGGGUUGGAAAGUUUCGGCGGUUGGGGAUGGACUCGCGGCUUAUCAGCUUGUUGGUGGGGUAGUGGCUUACCAAGGCUUUGACGGGUAGCCGGCCUGAGAGGGUGACCGGCCACAUUGGGACUGAGAUACGGCCCAGACUCCUACGGGAGGCAGCAGUGGGGAAUAUUGCACAAUGGGCGGAAGCCUGAUGCAGCAACGCCGCGUGCGGGAUGACGGCCUUCGGGUUGUAAACCGCUUUCGCCUGUGACGAAGCGUGAGUGACGGUAAUGGGUAAAGAAGCACCGGCUAACUACGUG